This is a long non-coding RNA of Solanum verrucosum, 184 nucleotides long. RefSeq lists it as uncharacterized. The record is from RefSeq and is a predicted model, not a curated record. The transcript has 3 exons. Lineage: Eukaryota; Viridiplantae; Streptophyta; Magnoliopsida; Solanales; Solanaceae.
GGAAGCUCAACAUGUAAAAAAGUUGAUAUAGGACUAUUUUGCUUCUUUCAUCAAAGUUGGAGAUAAGGCAACUGAGGAAGCUCAACAUCUAAAAAAGUUGAUAUAAGACUAUAUUGCUUCUUUCAUCAAAGUAGGAGAUAAGGAAAUAUUCUUCCUCCAUGUCCGGCUAGCAGUGAUGGAUCUG